CAUGCUGUGUGUGGUACCCUACUGCAGACAGUGGCAAUCAUGUAUAAUUAAAAAUGAUUGGUACGUCUGUGGGUAGAGUACUGCAUGACACAUG
MicroRNA precursor from Gorilla gorilla gorilla (western lowland gorilla), 94 nucleotides. The record is from Ensembl. NCBI's taxonomy places the organism in Eukaryota, Metazoa, Chordata, Mammalia, Primates, Hominidae.